UGGGGAAUUUUGGACAAUGGGCGAAAGCCUGAUCCAGCCACGCCGCGUGAGUGAAGAAGGCCUUCGGGUUGUAAAGCUCUUUUAGUCGGAAAGAAAGAGUUGCAAUGAAUAAUUGUGAUUUAUGACGGUACCGACAGAAAAAGCACCGGCUAACUACGUGCCAGCAGCCGCGGUAAUACGUAGGGUGCGAGCGUUAAUCGGAAUUACUGGGCGUAAAGGGUGCGCAGGCGGUCCUGCAAGUCAGAUGUGAAAGCCCCGGGCUUAACCUGGGAAUUGCGUUUGAAACUACAAGACUAGAGUGCAGCAGAGGGGAGUGGAAUUCCAUGUGUAGCAGUGAAAUGCGUAGAGAUGUGGAAGAACACCGAUGGCGAAGGCAGCUCCCUGGGUUGACACUGACGCUCAUGCACGAAAGCUUGGGGAGCAAACA
This 427-nucleotide ribosomal RNA is filed under the name uncultured beta proteobacterium. RNAcentral's name for it is "bacterial SSU rRNA". It matches the Rfam family "Bacterial small subunit ribosomal RNA", at positions 355 to 774 of the family's 1533-position model. Lineage: Bacteria; Pseudomonadati; Pseudomonadota; Betaproteobacteria. The record is from RNAcentral.